Molecule: ribosomal RNA, 828 nt
Filed under: uncultured bacterium
Lineage: Bacteria
Description: bacterial SSU rRNA
Rfam family: Bacterial small subunit ribosomal RNA
Source: RNAcentral
AGUCGAGCGAGCGGAACUAACAGAUUUACUUCGGUAAUGACGUUAGGAAAGCGAGCGGCGGAUGGGUGAGUAACACGUGGGGAACCUGCCCCAUAGUCUGGGAUACCACUUGGAAACAGGUGCUAAUACCGGAUAAGAAAGCAGAUCGCAUGAUCAGCUUUUAAAAGGCGGCGUAAGCUGUCGCUAUGGGAUGGCCCCGCGGUGCAUUAGCUAGUUGGUAAGGUAAAGGCUUACCAAGGCGAUGAUGCAUAGCCGAGUUGAGAGACUGAUCGGCCACAUUGGGACUGAGACACGGCCCAAACUCCUACGGGAGGCAGCAGUAGGGAAUCUUCCACAAUGGACGCAAGUCUGAUGGAGCAACGCCGCGUGAGUGAAGAAGGUUUUCGGAUCGUAAAGCUCUGUUGUUGGUGAAGAAGGAUAGAGGUAGUAACUGGCCUUUAUUUGACGGUAAUCAACCAGAAAGUCACGGCUAACUACGUGCCAGCAGCCGCGGUAAUACGUAGGUGGCAAGCGUUGUCCGGAUUUAUUGGGCGUAAAGCGAGCGCAGGCGGAAGAAUAAGUCUGAUGUGAAAGCCCUCGGCUUAACCGAGGAACUGCAUCGGAAACUGUUUUUCUUGAGUGCAGAAGAGGAGAGUGGAACUCCAUGUGUAGCGGUGGAAUGCGUAGAUAUAUGGAAGAACACCAGUGGCGAAGGCGGCUCUCUGGUCUGCAACUGACGCUGAGGCUCGAAAGCAUGGGUAGUGAACAGGAUUAGAUACCCUGGUAGUCCAUGCCGUAAACGAUGAGUGCUAAGUGUUGGGAGGUUUCCGCCUCUCAGUGCUGCAGCUA